Molecule: long non-coding RNA, 423 nt
Organism: Sinocyclocheilus grahami
Lineage: Eukaryota; Metazoa; Chordata; Actinopteri; Cypriniformes; Cyprinidae
Exons: 5
Source: RefSeq, a predicted model, not a curated record
AUCCCACAUGGAAAAAAGUAUGCUAAGAAAUGGCUUCUAACAUCACUACAGAAUCUCUGCCCCAUUGCGUUUAUUCCAUUACACUACUCCACAGAGGGACAUAAAGUUAAUUUCUAUCUGGAGGAUGCUGCUGCUGCUAGCGCUCUGUGCAAACUCACACGCAGAGUCACGGACAGCGAAGGGAACAGGGUGGCCGUGCUUAUGAACAGUUGUUCCAGUCCCCCUUUCCUCCAAAGCGAGCUGAAGCCACAAGAUCUGGAGCGUUUAAAGCAUUGCAUGUCCAAACGCUUUGACGGUUCCCAGAAGUCUCUCGACCUGAACAGCAUCCGCACUGAUCCAGACCUGGUUUCCCAUAAUAUUGAGAUGAUCUUAAAUCAAGAAAACUGCAUGCAAGCUGUGAUCAAAAUCAUACAAGAGAAUAUC